Molecule: ribosomal RNA, 469 nt
Filed under: Aegla georginae
Lineage: Eukaryota; Metazoa; Arthropoda; Malacostraca; Decapoda; Aeglidae
Description: partial 16S ribosomal RNA
Rfam family: Bacterial large subunit ribosomal RNA
Source: RNAcentral
CGGUAUUUUGACUGUGCGAAGGUAGCAUAAUCAUUUGUCUUUUAAUUGAAGACUUGUAUGAAUGGUUGAACGAGAAAAUAACUGUCUCUUUAAAAAAUCUUGAAUUUUACUUUUAAGUGAAAAGGCUUAAAUAAUUUUAAGGGACGAUAAGACCCUAUAAAUCUUCAUAUUAUUUUUCUUUAACUUUUAAAUUAUAUAUAUAUUAAAAAAAAUAAAAGAAAAAAAUAUUGUAUUGGGGAGAUAAAAAUAUAAUUUUUAACUGUUUUAAAUAUAAAACAAUAAUUUUUGAUUUAUUAAAAAUUGAUCCUUUUUAAAGAUUUUAAGAUUAAGUUACUUUAGGGAUAACAGCGUAAUUUUUUUUGAGAGUUCUUAUCGAAAAAAAAGUUUGCGACCUCGAUGUUGAAUUAAAAUAUCCUUAUAAGUGCAGAAGCUAUAAAGGAAAGUCUGUUCGACUUUUAAAAUUUUACAU